This is a long non-coding RNA of Fukomys damarensis (Damara mole-rat), 2013 nucleotides long. The record is from Ensembl. NCBI's taxonomy places the organism in Eukaryota, Metazoa, Chordata, Mammalia, Rodentia, Bathyergidae.
AUUCCUAAUAUUAUUUGUCUUUAGAGCAGACAUCCUUCAGCAAAAACAUCCUCCUUUUGAAUUUUGCACUCAUCCUAUCUGUAACAGAACAUCUGAUUUGUUCCCGGAAGUGAAAGCCCAGUGGCCUGGCCGCCUUACCUGCUCAGGUGCUCCGGGCUCAAUUUGGAGGGCGGAGCCUCCCAGCCUUGGCUCAGGUUCCCAGAGCCCCUCGCCUUAUCGGGAGCUUCUGAACUGCCGGGAAGGGAGAGCCCGGGAGGGAGGGCCGGAGAGUUCCAGGUUCCUCUCAAAGCCUACAGUGCCACAUUUCUGACUUCAGUUCCUGCCUCCGUGUGCUGCCUUCUCACCCCUGCCUCUUGCAUCUUCUUCAAAAUAGGUGACGCCUUGAAAGACCAGCUGGGGUCCCCCCUGCACCACAUGACGUCUGCCCGACCCCUGAGGCUCAUCUUUACAAAACAAGCCCGGAACCCCCUAAGUUAGCCUCUCCUGUCCAGGCCCAUUGGACUUGAAAUUCUUGCAGCCGUGACACCUGUCAGGCACUGGUAUCCGGGGUGGGUGGGGAAGGAGGCUGGAGUCUGGUGUGGUGGUUUCUGCUAGGCGAUCCCACAGGGAGAGCAGGGGAGGAGAAAAAGAGAGAGGUUUAACCUGGGCAGGCGUGCCCUUGGGCCGGCCCCCCAAUGCUGAAGGAUUCUGAGAGAUUUGAGUUACUGAUGGUGUGUGUGUGUGUGUGUGUGUGUGUGUGUGUGUGAGAGAGAGAGAGAGAGAGAGAGAGAGAGAGAGAGAGAGAGAAUUAGGAAUGAAACCUAGAACUCCUGAAUGUUCAUACAUCUUUGGAUUUUAGCUUAUGUACUCAGUCUUUUUGAGGUCGGAUCUCUUGGUAUUCAUGUUGGCCUCGAACUCACUAUGUAGCUCAAACUAUGAACUCAAGGCAAUCCUCCUGCCUCAGCUUCCCGAGUGUUGGGAUUACAGGCGUGCGACACCACAGCGGCUUCUGUUUUCGGUUUUUAGAGGGGAGGGGGAUGCUGUGGGCUGCAGAAACAGUGUAGCGAAGUGGCUUUGCAGAGACCGGAAUUACGGAUGCCAGGAAGUCACUGCUUCUCCGAGAGGCCUUCCUACUUAUGGGGUGAGGGGCGAUAUCAGUUCUGUUGUUAGAGGAGAAGGUGAGGGUCACCAGGGCCUGAGCCGCUGCAGGACUGCGGGACCACAGGAAAACUAGGCUGCGCCUGAGUCCCUUCUCCUUACCAACACGAGUGGACGGGAUUUGCUUUACAAAGGCCACAUCAUUCUGGAUGGCUGCUGCAGGGCCGAGCCAAUGGAAAGAAGAACGCAAGUAUGGAAUUUGCCAUUUGCUAGCCAAAUCAGUACUUCAAAUAAAAGAUCAAGUUAGAAUUUGACCCCAAUAAUCUCAACACCUCGGAGCAGGAAGUAGACCGUGGGAGCUAGGGAAGGCUCACCUCUCGGAAGACCACAAACGCAGCGCCGAAGAGCCACUGCUUCUCAGGUCUGAGCUGGAAAACACUGGACAGAGAAAAGAGAAAAAUACAGGGGGAAAGUUUAAAGCGUCGUGUUGAACAAAGGAAUGAACAAAGUUGGAGUGAUUUCCGUCCAACUACGACCAACUCCAUUCGGAAACGGACAUUUGCUUGAAACCAAGAUUGGGAGAUGUGUGUGGCUUAAAUGACAAACGUCCGCAGUGUUUUGGAAACCGAGGCUAUUUCAUUUCACAUCUCUCUCUCUCUCUCUCUCUCUCUCUCUCUCUCUCUCUCUCUCUCUCUCUCUUUUAUCGUGUCUUCUUAGAGAGCAUGGAAGUGGGGUCAAAAGAAAUCAACUCAGAUCUUGUGUGACUUAAAGCUGUAGAGCCCUGAGGGAAGUUAUUAACAUCUCCGAGCUGUUGCUGUCACCUGCUAAAUAGGAUUGUUUUGAAAAUUAAAUGAUAUAAGGUGUGUUUGCACACAUGGAGCUGCUGUUCACAGAUAUAAUUACCACUGCUAAAAUUACUAUUCAGAAUAAAAAGCC